AGCGAACGCUGGCGGCAGGCCUAACACAUGCAAGUCGAACGAACUCUUCGGAGUUAGUGGCGGUCGGGUGAGGAACACGUGGGAACGUGCCUUUUGGUUCGGAAUAACUCAGUGUAACUUGUGCUAAUACCGAAUGUGCCCUUCGGGGGAAAGAUUUAUCGCCAUUAGAGCGGCCCGCGUCUGAUUAGCUAGUUGGUGAGGUAACGGCUCACCAAGGCGACGAUCAGUAGCUGGUCUGAGAGGAUGACCAGCCACACUGGGACUGAGACACGGCCGAGAAUCCUACGGGAGGGAGCAGUGGGGAAUCUUGCGCAAUGGGGGAAAGCAUGACGCAGCCAUGCCGGGUGAAUGAUGAAGGUCUUAGGAUUGUAAAAUUCUUUAACCGGGGACGAUAAUGACGGUACCCGGAGAAGAAGCCCCGGCUAACUUCGUG
RNAcentral lists this ribosomal RNA (433 nucleotides) under uncultured bacterium. RNAcentral describes it as "partial 16S ribosomal RNA". It matches the Rfam family "Bacterial small subunit ribosomal RNA", at positions 29 to 507 of the family's 1533-position model. The record is from RNAcentral.